ACAGUCACGAGGAGCUGAAAAACGCUUUAAAUGAAAUGCAAAACAAAAUGGAAACCACCACGGCUCGGAUUGAAGAGGCAGAGGAGAGAAUAGGUGAAAUAGAAGAUAAAAUUAUGGAAAAAGAGGAAGCUGAGAAA
Leopardus geoffroyi (Geoffroy's cat) is the source of this 137-nucleotide long non-coding RNA. RefSeq lists it as uncharacterized. The transcript is spliced from 2 exons. NCBI's taxonomy places the organism in Eukaryota, Metazoa, Chordata, Mammalia, Carnivora, Felidae. The record is from RefSeq and is a predicted model, not a curated record.